UGAAAACAAAGAACCCAACUUUGAGAAAAUUAGAAGCUUGCUCUUCGCGGUGUGAUUUUGAUCGAUUUGGGUCUUAGCAACAACAAGAUGGCCCCCGCUCUGCUCAAAAUGGAUGUCUUCCAUGCCAUAAAACAAUGCAAAUUGCUUAGGCUGUGUUCUCUGCAAAGUGGAAAGCAGCUGGCUGAAAGUCCUUGAUGUUCUAUUCUCGCCUUUAGAGUUCUGUGGCUCUAACACCCUGUGAGAUAACUCCAGGCUGAAGAAUCUUCUGGUUCAUCUUCUAAGGGAUGAUUAGGCAGCACUAAAGUUAACAUAUUGACCAUAUUCACAUCAAAAUACCAAUUCAAUAUUGAGGUUUGCAGCAAUUAGGUGACCGCAAACUUAUCAGUCAUGGUGAUGCCGAUACUGAUGUUGAUGUGAUAAUAUGUGCCAUAAAAAGGAAUAUGGCGCACAUUGAAAGGAUUGAAGCUGUGGGGGGCUUGAAUUAUUGUGUCAAUUCAGUAUUUUAACCUCUAGCAAUGUCUGCGGGGAGUCCACAGCAAUCAAGCAGUGAACAUAAAGCUGCGAAUGAGGAAUGUUAAUGCCAGCAAGAAGUUAUCUCUUGUUAUCUAACUUCUUUGGUUUUUCUCUAAUUGCUGAACUGCAUCCUAAUUCUCAGUCUCUGAACUAAAUCUUUUAUCUCAAUGUUUAAAUACUCUUUUCAGGUUCUGAAAAUGAUUGAACAAAGUCUCUGCAUCCAUAUCCAGAUUUUU
Long non-coding RNA from Dioscorea cayenensis subsp. rotundata (Guinea yam), 749 nucleotides. RefSeq lists it as uncharacterized. NCBI's taxonomy places the organism in Eukaryota, Viridiplantae, Streptophyta, Magnoliopsida, Dioscoreales, Dioscoreaceae. The transcript has 5 exons. The record is from RefSeq and is a predicted model, not a curated record.